This 492-nucleotide ribosomal RNA is filed under the name uncultured bacterium. Its description in RNAcentral is "partial 16S ribosomal RNA". It matches the Rfam family "Bacterial small subunit ribosomal RNA", at positions 29 to 506 of the family's 1533-position model. The record is from RNAcentral.
AGUGAACGCUGGCGGCAGGCCUAACACAUGCAAGUCGAACGGCAACACGGUAAGAGCUUGCUCUUACGGGUGGCGGGUGGCGUAAGGGAGCGGAAUACAUCGGAAUCUACUUUUUCGUGGAGGAUAACGUAGGGAAACUUACGCUAAUACCGCAUACGACCUACGGGUGAAAGAAGGGGAACUUCGGACCUUGCGCGUUUGAAUGAGCCGAUGUCGGAUUAGCUAGUUGGCGGGGUAAAGGCCCACCAAGGCGACGAUCCGUAGCUGGUCUGAGAGGAUGAAUCGGCCACACUGGAACUGGGAAAGGGUCCGAACCCCUACGGGAGGCAGCGGUGGGAAAUAUGGGACAAGGGGCGCAAGCCGGAUCCAGCCAGACCGGGGGGGUGAAGAAGGCCUUGGGGUGGUAAAGGCCUUUUGUUGGGAAAGAAAAGCAGCAGGUUAAAACCCCGCUGUUCGGACGGAACCCAAAGAAUAAGCACCGCCUAACUCCGG